GCGCGAAAACUUUACAAUGCUGGCAACAGCGAUAAGGGAACCUCGAGUGCCAGGUUACGAAUCAGGCUGUCGAGAUGCCUAAAAAGCAUUUCAUAGCAAGGGCCGGGCAAGACCGGUGCCAGCCGCCGCGGUAACACCGGCGGCUCGAGUGGUAACCGUUAUUAUUGGGUCUAAAGGGUCUGUAGCCGGCCGGAUAAGUCUCUUGAGAAAUCUGGCAGCUUAACUGUCAGGCUUUCAGGAGAUACUGUCUGGCUCGAGGCCGGGAGAGGUGAGAGGUACUUCAGGGGUAGGGGUGAAAUCUUGUAAUCCUUGAAGGACCACCAGUGGCGAAGGCGUCUCACCAGAACGGACCUGACGGCAAGGGACGAAAGCUAGGGGCACGAACCG
This 387-nucleotide ribosomal RNA is filed under the name uncultured bacterium. RNAcentral describes it as "bacterial SSU rRNA". It matches the Rfam family "Archaeal small subunit ribosomal RNA", at positions 339 to 726 of the family's 1478-position model. The record is from RNAcentral.